UGGAAUUGCUAGUAAUCGCGAAUCAGAAUGUCGCGGUGAAUACGUUCCCGGGCCUUGUACACACCGCCCGUCACACCAUGAGAGUCGAUAACACCCGAAGCCUGUGAGCUAACCGCAAGGAGGCAGCAGUCGAAGGUGGGGUUGAUGAUUGGGGUGAAGUCGUAACAAGGUAAC
Molecule: ribosomal RNA, 174 nt
Filed under: uncultured bacterium
Lineage: Bacteria
Description: partial 16S ribosomal RNA
Rfam family: Bacterial small subunit ribosomal RNA
Source: RNAcentral